AUAUCCAUAUGCAUCCAUCAAACCACACAUUGUGCCGCAACAAAGAGAAGAAGGAGGACCCUUGGACGUGCUUGCCAUUCAAGUUGGAUUGUUGGAGCGUUUUUAGGUGUUUUCAUUCUUUUGUUUUCAAUGUCUAAAUUUGUUUAUCUUUGCUUUGUGAGUAUGAGGAACUAAACCCCCCUUAGCUAGGGGGAAUUCAAAGCCAUGAACAUACUUGCAAUAUGAAUUGAUUACCUUCAGUUG
Molecule: long non-coding RNA, 243 nt
Filed under: Malus domestica (apple)
Lineage: Eukaryota; Viridiplantae; Streptophyta; Magnoliopsida; Rosales; Rosaceae
Description: long non-coding RNA (MDOM_LNC012349)
Source: RNAcentral